This 429-nucleotide ribosomal RNA is filed under the name Actinomycetes bacterium. Its description in RNAcentral is "Actinobacteria bacterium partial 16S ribosomal RNA". It matches the Rfam family "Bacterial small subunit ribosomal RNA", at positions 355 to 776 of the family's 1533-position model. The record is from RNAcentral. Lineage: Bacteria; Bacillati; Actinomycetota; Actinomycetes.
UAGGGAAUCUUCCGCAAUGGGCGAAAGCCUGACGGAGCAACGCCGCGUGAGUGAUGAAGGUCUUCGGAUCGUAAAACUCUGUUAUUAGGGAAGAACAAAUGUGUAAGUAACUAUGCACGUCUUGACGGUACCUAAUCAGAAAGCCACGGCUAACUACGUGCCAGCAGCCGCGGUAAUACGUAGGUGGCAAGCGUUAUCCGGAAUUAUUGGGCGUAAAGCGCGCGUAGGCGGUUUUUUAAGUCUGAUGUGAAAGCCCACGGCUGAACCGUGGAGGGUCAUUGGAAACUGGAAAACUUGAGUGCAGAAGAGGAAAGUGGAAUUCCAUGUGUAGCGGUGAAAUGCGCAGAGAUAUGGAGGAACACCAGUGGCGAAGGCGACUUUCUGGUCUGUAACUGACGCUGAUGAGCGAAAGCGUGGGGAUCAAACAGG